This is a long non-coding RNA of Tarenaya hassleriana, 319 nucleotides long. RefSeq lists it as uncharacterized. The record is from RefSeq and is a predicted model, not a curated record. Lineage: Eukaryota; Viridiplantae; Streptophyta; Magnoliopsida; Brassicales; Cleomaceae. The transcript is spliced from 3 exons.
UUCAGUUUCCCGGAGUCUGAAGGAGAUGCUCUUCUAAUAGAGGUUCAAGAUAAGAAGAAAUCAGUGCAAGGAAAAGCAAUAAUUCCUGUUUCAUCCUUGACUGACAAUCUGAAUGAAAAUGUUAGUUGGUGGCCAAUAAGCCACGGUGAACAAGAAUGUGUGGGGAAGAUUCAACUCUUUAUCGGCAACACAGCCGCAUCUGAUGAUGAUCAUCAUAUAAAGAGUGCACCAGUUGUGGAAACUCUAGCAUAUGAUUUGCUUCUCGAUGCUGCUAUCCGUGCCCAAAACUUUCAUUCUCGAAACAUGAGGUUGAACGGAC